Cynara cardunculus var. scolymus (artichoke) is the source of this 634-nucleotide long non-coding RNA. RefSeq lists it as uncharacterized. Lineage: Eukaryota; Viridiplantae; Streptophyta; Magnoliopsida; Asterales; Asteraceae. The record is from RefSeq and is a predicted model, not a curated record. The transcript is spliced from 2 exons.
UGCGGGUAUUGAAAGAAAGGCCUCGGAUCUUUACAUCCUGUGCUACGUUUUCAAGAACAAAGAACGAUGGACGCGUAGUUUGCAGACCAAAAAGAUUUCCGAUAACGGAACGCUUUGAUUUCAGGCAAUGCGAAAGCCCUUGGCCAUGGAGGUUCAUAUGACUCCUGGUCGUUCAUGGUCACCUGGGGGUUUAGUCGGUACGUGUAAAUCGACCCGGAUACCCACAGAUACCCCACAAAAUUUCAUAUAAGCACCUCAUCAUACUAGUGGAUUGGAUUACAUAUAGUUUCAAGAUUUUUACGGAUAUAUGAAGACUAAAUUUAACAAAUUUGUAAAAAGAAAAGCAAGAGAGUACCUGAGAAUACAAGAAAGUUCCGAGGAUAGCGAUUGCAGCUCCAAGGGCGUUGAUUGGUUGGAUGGGUGUAUGGAAAAUGAUGAUAGAGGAUACAAUGACCGAUAUACGUUUCAUUGUGUUUCCAAUACUAAACGUCAACGGAGAGAUUUCAUCAAGUGACAUAUACGAAACUUGAUUGUAUAAGUGGUAGAAGACACUUUGGGCGGCCACCCACCUACGUGCGCACAUAUCAUAACUUUUAGCCAUUUGGUCGGCAAUAAGAACGGACGUCAAAGAAUA